ACUGGAGGACCAAGAAGGCCAAGUCUGAUGAAGCAAGACUUUGCUGAUCCACUCCUCCUAGACAAAGGAGUGGAGAGAGCAGCCCUCACCAGAGAAGACCACAAGGAUGACUGAACUCUACCCAACAUGU
Meriones unguiculatus (Mongolian gerbil) is the source of this 130-nucleotide non-coding RNA. The record is from Ensembl. Lineage: Eukaryota; Metazoa; Chordata; Mammalia; Rodentia; Muridae.